GUCAAAGCAGGAUCUCCUUUAUUGAGAAAACGCACACAGCUAAUAUAAUGUACAGGAGCCAAUCAGGAUAAAGGUCAGCAGGGUGGGGAGAAUUUACAUCUACACCCAUCCUACUGGCAGUAACGGGAGACAGGAGCUGUCUGUGAAGGCAGAAGGGUUCUGAGCCUAUCCUAGAGGUGGUCCAAUUCUUCAUCACAACCCAUGGCAAUGCCUUCUGGCUAACUGCUAGGUACUCUCUUAGCCACAGGUGGCCCCAGGACUGGGAAGCGGGUGCAGCCAGCAAGGUAAGUUUCCUCUUUUCUGAUGCAACAUGCUCCACAGUUACAUUAUGCCCUACAAUGAUCCUCCUGAACAUCACCAGAGGGAUGUUCAAUUUCUCUGUGGCACCACUGGGCUCGAAAUGUAGGUACUGAAAGAAGCCAUCUCCUUGGCUGGCUUCUCUGAGGACAUGGUGUGGUGGGGCGGGGUGAUGGGAGCAGCCCAGCUGCUCCAGGGGGCUUCUCUGCUGUUCUACAUCCCUCAACCAUCAGCUGCCCACCCCCCUGAGGCCAUCUGUCCCACAGCCCAUGUGAUGCAGCCACUCACAGCCUCCAAGGGCCUUUCAGUGUCUGUCCCACCCUUUCCAAUUCCAUCACUACUGGCUUCCAGAUAUCUGCAGUUUCUGUAGAAACUCUUCACUACUCUGAACCAGCUAGUUAUCAGGUUCAUAUUUUGGUGCCUUAAACUCCAGGGAAAUCAUUCUUAUUUAAUUAUUCACAAGUAUUUUCCUUCCAGAAGUGCUAGACACCACCAUGGCGGGGGCAGGGGAGGCACGACUCAGCCUCCACAGGGUCAGUGCCCAGGGCCCAAUCCACUCUAAGUGUGACUCAUUCCUUCUUCCUCACCUAUGGUCCUUUAGGGGACCUGGUGCUCAAUCCCUGCAUCUGGCAGGGCCCUCUAAACCCCUAAGACACAUCUGCACAUGUCAGAAUUCAAGGUGUGGACAGGAUUCACGUUCCUCCCAUGGGGCUAUUGGCACAACCCAGACAGGGUUGUGGCUAAAGAGCUGCCCAAGUGUCCCUUAACCUCCCACACACUGGGACUCUCUACAUCUCCACAUUUCAUCAUAUCUGAGUCUUCACUUUGAUCCAGUCAAAACUCUUUUUUGAAAGCUUCUAUGGUUAUGUGACAGAAAAAGAAAGAAAAACCUUCACUCUUUCCCUUCUUUUUAUAAGAAGAAAGCAGAGCUGGUAGUGUACCUCAGUACUGGAGCAUGCGUGAGGCCCUGGGUUCAGUCCCCAGACCCAGAAACAAACAAACUAUUGUCUCCAGGAGAAAUAAUCAACAUUUGUGUUUUGGAGAUAUUUUUGUUCUAAUAAGUGUACUAAUCCAAAAAUCCUCCCGGUGGAAGGGAAACCUCCAUUGGAUCAUGCAUCCAAUCUGGCUCCCAGGAUGGGUUUUCCUUCCCCAGCACUGGGCACCUGGAGGAAGCCUGUUGGGAAAACAUAACGGCAGCCGCACCCCAGAGAAAAACCCCAGCAUGGCAUCUAACGACCCUCCUUCUCUUCUUUGUUUCUUUCAUUGGCGCGAAACGUUCCCGCCAGUGCCAAUGUUCAAAUCGUGCUGAUGGGAAGCCUUAGCCCCAAUUAGAAUUAACUUCUUGGGCUCCGGAACUGACAUAUGGAAGAGCUUGCCAAUAAACGGGCGACCUGUUAUCUACCUCAGCCCCUGCUACCUCUCUUAGACCUAUGUAAACACACAGCCUUUUGUAAUAAAGCGGAAACCUCUUUGGUAAUCUGUGUCGUGUGAUGCGGCGUCUUCCCAUCUUACAAAGCCAGGAACUUUAGAACAGGAAUUGGGGUCCUGUCAGGGAGGGAGGAAGCCAGGAGCGAGAGCACAUCCUCUGGGAUGGGUUGGGGAUAGAAAUGAACUUAUGAACUGCCACUAGAACAAGUAGAGACUGUGCUGGCAUGGCAGGAGCAUGGAGUCAAAUAGAGGACGAUAACUAGAGUGGAGUGGAGGGACAUCUGUCUGAGCAUCCUCAUAAGGAGGGUGAAGACAGGUGAGCCAUGAGGAGGUAACCAUGGUGGGACCCACCUGUAAUCUCAGUGGCUCCAGAGGCUGAGACAGGAGGAUCAUGAGUUCAAAGCCAGCCUCAGCAACUUAGAGAGGGCCUUAGCAACUUUGACAGACCCUGUCUCAAUAGAAAAAAUGAAAAAGGCUGGGGAUGUGGCUCAGGGGUUAAGCGCCCUGGAUUAAAUUCCCGGUACCAAAAGGAAAUUUGCCAUCUUAAUCAUUUUAAGUGUACAAUUCAGUGGCAAUAAUCACAUCCACUGUGUUGUGCAACCAUCAUCACUAUCCACUUCCAGAACUUUUUCAUCAUCCCAAACUGAAACUCUAUCCCAUUAAGCAAGAACUACCCAUUCCCUUCUCCCUCAAGCCCCAGUAAAUUCUGCCCUACUUUCUGUCUCUAUUAAUUUGACUCCUCUAGAUAUUUCAUAUAAAUGGGGUCAUACAAUAUUUGCUUUUUUGUGCUUGGCUUAUUUCACUGAGCAUGUUUUGGAAGUUCAUCCAUGUUGUAGGCAUGUACCAUAAUUCCAUUCCUUUUAAAGACUGGAUAGUAUUCCAUUGCCUGAAGAUGCCACAUUUAGUUUCUUCAUUCAUCUGUUGAGAGACAUUGGGUUGUUUCCACCUUUUGGUUGCUGUGAACAACACUGAUGUGGGCACUGAUGGACAAGUCCUUGUCUUUUUUUUUUUUUUACAGUUUCCUUCAGUUUGCAGUCUGGUGUGCUGCUCUUGUCAAUAUUGAAAGAUUCAAGUCUUAAAGGGGAAAGGAGACCUACCUCAGCCCUCUUUCCCUACCCAACACUCUCCCAGGCUCCAGAUGGAGGAAACUUCACCUCAGAAUGCCACAGAGCAACACGCACAAAGUUGGAAACCACAGUCAGAGGAACAUCCAAGGAGGACAUGCAAGAGGAAAGGUGUGGCCAACCCAAUCUUCCAUUUCUCUCUCUGAAAGAGAUGCUCCAUCAGCAGAGGAGAUGGGGUGAGCCAGCUCUAUAUCUAUUUGAGGAUUGCAUUUAUAAUACUUAAAAAUAAGUCUGGGAAGAUAGGGAAGAAUAUGUUUACAGUGCUCAUUUUGGAGGAUGGAAUCAUUGGUGCUAUUCCUUUCAUAUUAAAUAAAAAAAUAGAACUGUUUCUACUAAUGAAUGCUAGAUUGAUUACUCAGAUAAAAAAUAUAACAAAAUAUUCAUUUCAGUGCUUGCAUUCAAAAUACAACCAUCCAACUGUCCCUUCUUUUAAGCAGGAAGUUUUAUGCAUUAGAAUUGUCACAGAUUUUAUUAAGAUUUUUGACAUGUCUUCAAGACAGUGAGCCUGUGUCAUUAACUGAAUUAUCCAUUGUGUGGCUAAUGCUAUUAGGAAACUACAAAUAAAACAGACAUAUAAUUAUACUCAAAUUACUGAAAUAAAAAAUACAGACCAGAUCUGUGCCAUGCACAUAAUAUAAAACAAAUUUCCACCAAUCUCAGUAAGAAUGAUGCUGUCACAUGUAUGUAUUUGGAAAGUAGGAGGCCUUACACACUCUAUGUGCUUAGUGUCCUGGGAGUGCAGCUUUAAGGAGAUCUAAGAGCUCAGCUGUUCUUCCUAAUGUCUUCAGCUCUGUAGCUCAUUGCCCUGCAGUGGGCAGGAGUAGGCCUUGUCACCUUGAAUACCUCCUUGGCAAGUAACCCACAGGAACAAAGCAGGCAGGGUAUCCGAUGGUGACUGUGUCAUUUAUCUUCCAAGUGCAAACACUUUUAAGACUGAAAACGGGAGUGACUUCAUUCAUUUUCUCAUGCUAUAAAAUAAUAUCUGAGACUGAAUGAUUUAUAAAGGAAGGAGACUUAUGUGGUUCCUGGUUCUGGCAACUGGGAAAUCCAAGAGCACCCACUGGCAUCUGCUAGGCUUCUGGUGAGAACCUCAUGCAGCUUCAAAUCCUGAUGGACAGUGGAAGGGCAAACAGAUGAUUGUGAAAGAGGCAAGACAACAACCCAUUGUCUCAUAGUAAUUAAACCAGUGCCUCAAGAGCAGGGACUCCUUCACACAGAGGCACUAGUCCAUUCUUGAGGGCUCUGCUUCCCAGACCUGAGCACUUCUUGCUAACCCCCACUUCCCAACACUGCUACAAUGAGAAACUAAUGUUUCAACACAUAAAUUAUUUUUCAGGGGCACACUAGAACCCUAGCAUGGAGCUAUUGCUAAUUGCAUGGAGAAAAUUAGUAUAAACUGGGACCAGGAAGGUAAAUCAGGAAGUGAUGUAUGUUUCCUUUAAAAUAAAGCAUAUAGAAUGAGGGGGCUUCUGGCUACAACUAGAGAGUACACCCCCUUCCAGCCACUGACGGACAAUAUUUGAAAGCAAAUCUAAUCUCGGCAGUUUCCCCAAGGGAAUCAUUGCAGGCAUCCAGGACAAGCUUCACAAGCUGUGGAACUGACAGGACUCUCCCCUGUUACACUACGUUUUAGUCAGCUGUUUUGCCACUGUGACAAAAUGACUCAACCAGAACAACUGCAGAGAAGGAAAAGUUUAUUUGAAGGCUCACGGUUCAGCGGUCUUAAUCCAUAGAAGGCCAGCUCCAUUCCUCAGGGCUCGAGGUGAGGCUGAACAUCAUGGUGAGAGGGUGUGGCAGAGGGAAGCAGCUCACAUGAUGAUCAGAAAGCAGAGACUCCACUCACCAGCUACAAAUAUAUACCCCAAAGCCAAGCCCCAGUUCCCACCUCCUCCAGCCACACCCCACCACUUCAGUUACCACUCAGUUAAUCCCCAUCAGGGGGUUAAUUCACUGACUGGGUUAAGACUCUCACAACUCAAUCCUUCUCCUCUGAGCCUUUUUGCAUUGUCUCACACAUGAACUUUUGGGGGACACCUCAUAUGCAACCAUAACACACUUCAAACUGGAAACAACUAAGAUGGUCUGUAGGGCAUGAUGUAACAUGUGGGGCAUGUUGCAUCAGAAAAGAGGAAACCUAACUUGCUGGCUGCUACCCGCUUCCCAGUCCUGGGGCCACAUGUGGCUAAGAGAACACCUGGCGAUUAGCCAGAAAGCAUUGCCGUGGGUUGUGAUGAAGAAUCGGACCACCUCUAGGGUAGGCUCAGAACCCUUCUGCCCUCACGGACAGCUCCUGUCUCCCAUUAUGGGUAUACAGGUGAACUCUCCCCACCCUGCUCACCUUUAUCCUGAUUGGCUCCUGUAUAUUAUAUUAGCUGUGUGUGUUUUCUCAUUAAACGAGAUCCUGCUUUGA
This 5259-nucleotide long non-coding RNA is filed under the name Marmota monax (woodchuck). Lineage: Eukaryota; Metazoa; Chordata; Mammalia; Rodentia; Sciuridae. The record is from RNAcentral.